CGACACGGGCAGGAUUCGAACCUGCGCGUACAAAGUACAAUGGAUUAGCAAUCCAUCGCCUUAACCACUCGGCCACCGUGUC
Molecule: non-coding RNA, 82 nt
Organism: Chaetoceros tenuissimus
Lineage: Eukaryota; Bacillariophyta; Thalassiosirophyceae; Chaetocerotales; Chaetocerotaceae
Source: the annotation of a GenBank genome assembly